RNAcentral lists this ribosomal RNA (269 nucleotides) under uncultured prokaryote. Its description in RNAcentral is "partial 16S ribosomal RNA". It matches the Rfam family "Bacterial small subunit ribosomal RNA", at positions 524 to 792 of the family's 1533-position model. The record is from RNAcentral.
UACGUAGGGUGCGAGCGUUGUCCGGAAUUACUGGGCGUAAAGAGCUCGUAGGUGGUUUGUCGCGUCUGCUGUGAAAAUCCGGGGCUCAACCCCGGACUUGCAGUGGGUACGGGCAGACUAGAGUGUGGUAGGGGAGACUGGAAUUCCUGGUGUAGCGGUGAAAUGCGCAGAUAUCAGGAGGAACACCGAUGGCGAAGGCAGGUCUCUGGGCCACUACUGACGCUGAGAAGCGAAAGCAUGGGGAGCGAACAGGAUUAGAUACCCCCGUA